This 1641-nucleotide ribosomal RNA is filed under the name human gut metagenome. RNAcentral's name for it is "bacterial LSU rRNA". It matches the Rfam family "Bacterial large subunit ribosomal RNA", at positions 1266 to 2925 of the family's 2925-position model. The record is from RNAcentral.
AGGAGCUGUGGAGUGCCAGGAAGAGAGAAUGCCGGAAUGAGUAGCGAGAGAGAGGUGGGAAUCCUCUCGGCCGAAUAUCCAAGGUUUCCAGAGUAAAGCUGAUCUGCUCUGGGUAAGUCGGGGCCUAAGGCGAGGACGAGAGUCGUAGCCGAUGGACAACAGGUGGAGAUUCCUGUACUGCGGUAUGACAGAACUGUGGGGACACGUAAGGAAAGCGGAAGCCGGGAAUGGAUAGCCCGGUGCAAGCGGGGUACCAGCCACUUUGGCAAAUCCGGGUGGCAAUGGGAAGCCGUGAUGCGGAGCGAAAUAAAGUAGCGAAGUCCGUGAGCCAUGCGUCAAGAAAAGCCGCUAUCGUUUAUACCGUACCCGUACCGUAAACCGACACAGGUGGAUGAGGAGAGAAUCCUAAGGCCGGCGGAAGAAGCAUUGUCAAGGAACUCGGCAAAAUGACCCCGUAACUUCGGGAGAAGGGGUGCCACUGAGAAGUGGCCGCAGAGAAUAGGCUCAAGCAACUGUUUAGCAAAAACACAGGUCUAUGCGAAACCGAAAGGUGAGGUAUAUGGGCUGACGCCUGCCCGGUGCUGGAAGGUUAAGAGGAGAGGUUAGCGCAAGCGAAGCUUUGAAUUUAAGCCCCAGUAAACGGCGGCCGUAACUAUAACGGUCCUAAGGUAGCGAAAUUCCUUGUCGGGUAAGUUCCGACCCGCACGAAUGGUGUAACGAUCUGGGCACUGUCUCAACUACCCACCCGGCGAAAUUGUAGUACCGGUGAAGAUGCCGGUUACCUGCGGCAAGACGGAAAGACCCCAUGGAGCUUUACUGUAGCCUGAUAUUGGGUUUCGGAAAUCUAUGUACAGGAUAGGCGGGAGACUGGGAAGUAUGAGCGUCAGCUUAUACGGAGUCAUUGUUGGGAUACCGCCCUUAGGUUUCUGGAAUUCUAACCUGCGACCGUGAAUCCGGUCGGGGGACAUUGUCAGGUGGGCAGUUUGACUGGGGCGGUCGCCUCCGAAAAGGUAACGGAGGCGCUCAAAGGUUGGCUCAGCACGGACGGAAACCGUGCCUGUGAGUGUAAACGCAAAAGCCAGCCUAACUGCGAGGAUGACGGUCCGAGCAGUAACGAAAGUUGGAGUUAGUGAUCCGGCGGUAUGUGAAUGGAAAUGCCGUCGCUCAACGGAUAAAAGCUACCCUGGGGAUAACAGGCUGAUCUCCCCCAAGAGUCCACAUCGACGGGGAGGUUUGGCACCUCGAUGUCGGCUCAUCACAUCCUGGGGCUGUAUUCGGUCCCAAGGGUUCGGCUGUUCGCCGAUUAAAGUGGUACGCGAGCUGGGUUCAGAACGUCGCGAGACAGUUCGGUCCCUAUCUGUCGUGGGCGCAGGAUAUUUGAGGAGCUCUGUCCUUAGUACGAGAGGACCGGGAUGGACGUACCUCUGGUGCACCAGUUGUCAUGCCAAUGGCACGGCUGGGCAGCUACGUACGGAACGGAUAAACGCUGAAAGCAUCUAAGCGUGAAGCCGACUCCAAGAUUAGAUAUCCCAUUGCAUAAGCAAGUAAGACCCCUUGAGGACUACGAGGUUGAUAGGCUGCGUGUGUAAGUGUCGUGAGGCAUUUAGCUUGGCAGUACUAAUAGGUCGAGGGCUUGACCAC